RNAcentral lists this transfer RNA (70 nucleotides) under Dipodomys ordii (Ord's kangaroo rat). It matches the Rfam family "tRNA". From Rfam's summary of the family: Transfer RNA (tRNA) molecules are approximately 80 nucleotides in length. The record is from Rfam by way of RNAcentral. Lineage: Eukaryota; Metazoa; Chordata; Mammalia; Rodentia; Heteromyidae.
GGGAAGGUGGCUCAGUGGUAGAGCGCUUGCCUUGCAUGCAAGAGGCCCUGGGUUCGAUUCCUCCGCACCA